UACGUAGGGCGCGAGCGUUGUCCGGAAUUAUUGGGCGUAAAGAGCUCGUAGGCGGCCUGUUGCGUCCGCUGUGAAAUCCCAGGGCUCAACCCUGGGCGUGCAGUGGAUACGGGCAGGCUAGAGUUCGGUAGGGGGAGAUCGGAAUUCCUGGUGUAGCGGUGAAAUGCGCAGAUAUCAGGAGGAACACCGGUGGCGAAGGCGGAUCUCUGGGCCGAUACUGACGCUGAGGAGCGAAAGCGUGGGGAGCGAACAGG
Molecule: ribosomal RNA, 254 nt
Filed under: uncultured bacterium
Lineage: Bacteria
Description: partial 16S ribosomal RNA
Rfam family: Bacterial small subunit ribosomal RNA
Source: RNAcentral